This 244-nucleotide signal recognition particle RNA is filed under the name Echeneis naucrates (live sharksucker). Its description in RNAcentral is "Metazoan signal recognition particle RNA (ENSENLG00000013991.1)". It matches the Rfam family "Metazoan signal recognition particle RNA". From Rfam's summary of the family: The signal recognition particle (SRP) is a universally conserved ribonucleoprotein. It is involved in the co-translational targeting of proteins to membranes. The eukaryotic SRP consists of a 300-nucleotide 7S RNA and six proteins: SRPs 72, 68, 54, 19, 14, and 9. The record is from RNAcentral. Lineage: Eukaryota; Metazoa; Chordata; Actinopteri; Carangiformes; Echeneidae.
GUCCCUCGCCUGUAAUCCAAGUUACCGGGAGGCUGAGGCUGGAGGAGCUCUGGGCUGCAGCGGACUAUGUCGAUCGGGUGUCCGCACUAAGUUCGGUAUCGAUAUGGUGCUCCGGGGGGAGCCCGGGAUCACCAGGUCGUCUAAGGAGGGGUGCACCGGCCCAGGUCGGACACAGAGCAGGUCAAAGCCCCCGUGAAUAGACGCUGUAGUUCAGCCUGAGUAAGACAGCGGGACCCAGUCUUUA